Molecule: ribosomal RNA, 253 nt
Filed under: uncultured bacterium
Lineage: Bacteria
Description: partial 16S ribosomal RNA
Rfam family: Bacterial small subunit ribosomal RNA
Source: RNAcentral
UACGGAGGGGGCUAGCGUUGUUCGGAAUUACUGGGCGUAAAGCGCGCGUAGGCGGACCUGCAAGUCGGGGGUGAAAGCCCUCGGCUUAACCGAGGAAGUGCAUUCGAAACUACCGGACUUGAAUACUGGAGAGGGUCGCGGAAUUCCCGGUGUAGAGGUGAAAUUCGUAGAUAUCGGGAGGAACACCAGUGGCGAAGGCGGCGACCUGGACAGAUAUUGACGCUGAGGUGCGAAAGCGUGGGGAGCAAACAGG